AUGCAGAGCAAAAAUGCUGCUGUCAUUGGUGCCUCCACCACCACGGGCACGGUGUGCAUCACAUUGACCUGUCACCUCUCUCUGUUGCUCAGAGAUGUGGUGAUGCUCCAUCCCUGCAGACAGCCGAGGUCAGGCUGGAUGGGCUCCAAGCACCUGGUGGAGCUGUGGGUGCUCCAUUUCAUCACACAGGGGAAUGGGACCAAGCGGCCUUUAAAGGUCCCUCCAACCUCGAGCCGUUCUGUGAUGCCACGAAGGGGGAUUUCCCUCACAGGAUCACAGACUUCGUGCCGUCGACGGUGUUCUCCUCCCGCAGCGCUGCGGGGCCGGGCGGUGCAGCGGCUGCCGCGGCCACACGGUGGUAGGAGAAGCCCCGGCAGCGCUGCGGGCUCCGCUCCGCUCUGCUCCAUUCCCCCCCUGCCCGCAGCCCCGGCCGCAGCUGUGACGAACGGAGAGCACAAAACUCUUGUACGAAGGGCUGAGGAACCGGCCAGCACCAGUGCGAGGUGCCGAAUUGCCACAGCUCGGGAGUUGCGUUCACUGAAGUCUGAGGGUCCUGGACUCCCUGUUCUGCAGCUGAGUGCUCCAUCUGCAAGAGAUUGUUUCUUGACAUGAAAAAUUUACUUUUUAAUGGGCCAAACUGCUACACUCUCUAAGCUGGAUCCAAAAUAACCUCUUAGCACAUUGCUCUGAAGGGAUCUCCAGCUACCGACCAUAAAACUGAAGCACUGCUCCUACUAAAAACCCAUUUACAAGCCAUUCCCUCCUUGUCCUUUUGCUUUCACACUGUGGUUCUAAAGCUCUGGUGCUCACUUCUGGAAAUGGAAAAUGAUCUUUUGGAACUGAACAACUCACAGAUUUUAUUUCAUCUGCAUUCUUUUCUUCCCGGGAUCCAAGGAGGCUGUGGAUGCCCCCCAUCCCUGCAGGCAUUCGAGGCCAGGCUGGAUGUGGCUCUGGGCAGCCAGGUCUGCUGGUUGGUGACCCUGCGCAUUGCAGGGGGUUGAAAUGAGAUGAUCAUUGUGGUCCUUUUCAAGCCAGGCCAUUCAAUGGUUCUAUGAAAUGGCAAUGAAGUGGCACUGGAGCUGGAGAGGAGGGCAGAGAGCUCAGUGCUGCCUGGAGAUGCUGGGAAGUGCCUCAUCCCUCCCUUAAUCUUCAUUUUUUUGUUUCAGUCGUCUCUUAAUUGUGAAAUAUUCAGCCUUUUGUGUGCAUAAUGAUGGGGCAAAAGAUAGUGAUAAAAUAGUUUAAAUUAAUAAGAUUAUUAAGUAACCUCUGCUGCUGGUAAUUCCUCACUCGAGCGGGUGCGCGCCGCGCUGUAAUUAGUUUUCUGCUUCGCUGGAGCAUGCUUCAAGUAGCGGGGAGGAUUUGGGGGAGAGAAUGCUGUAAAGCUGAGCUGGUGAUGGAACACAUUUGUGACGGUUGGGGAUGAGAGUGUGCUGUCCCUGGGGUGGGACGUGGCUGCAGGGCUGUGCCUGCAUCCAAGGGCAGGUGGCACAGACAGGGUUCCUGGUGUGGGGUUUGUGCUUCUGCCCAAAGCCUGCAUGCAGGGUGCCCUGUUUGGCAGAUCUCUGCCCUGAGCUUCUGUUGGUGGAUGAGUGAAUGCUGCUGCAAUAGGAGCAGAGGAGGUGAUGCCCCGAGAGAAGGGGAGCCCUCAGUCUGUUAGCCUGGCAAAUAAUGGAUAACGGGUCGAUGCCUUCAGCCUGGGUUGGCAGUGGUAAUGGAUGGCCUCACAGGUAAAUUAUCUCAUCCGAGCCACAAAAUGAUGUCCUCCUUCUAGGAAAUGGGGAGAAUAAAAAUCUAUUCUUUGUUCUGAAACA
This 1811-nucleotide long non-coding RNA is filed under the name Phasianus colchicus (ring-necked pheasant). RNAcentral describes it as "lncRNA (ENSPCLG00000005414.1)". The record is from RNAcentral. Lineage: Eukaryota; Metazoa; Chordata; Aves; Galliformes; Phasianidae.